This 452-nucleotide ribosomal RNA is filed under the name Pseudomonas sp. Its description in RNAcentral is "bacterial SSU rRNA". It matches the Rfam family "Bacterial small subunit ribosomal RNA", at positions 290 to 734 of the family's 1533-position model. Lineage: Bacteria; Pseudomonadati; Pseudomonadota; Gammaproteobacteria; Pseudomonadales; Pseudomonadaceae. The record is from RNAcentral.
GUCUGAGAGGAUGAUCAGUCACACUGGAACUGAGACACGGUCCAGACUCCUACGGGAGGCAGCAGUGGGGAAUAUUGGACAAUGGGCGAAAGCCUGAUCCAGCCAUGCCGCGUGUGUGAAGAAGGUCUUCGGAUUGUAAAGCACUUUAAGUUGGGAGGAAGGGCAGUAAAUUAAUACUUUGCUGUUUUGACGUUACCGACAGAAUAAGCACCGGCUAACUCUGUGCCAGCAGCCGCGGUAAUACAGAGGGUGCAAGCGUUAAUCGGAAUUACUGGGCGUAAAGCGCGCGUAGGUGGUUCGUUAAGUUGGAUGUGAAAUCCCCGGGCUCAACCUGGGAACUGCAUUCAAAACUGACGAGCUAGAGUAUGGUAGAGGGUGGUGGAAUUUCCUGUGUAGCGGUGAAAUGCGUAGAUAUAGGAAGGAACACCAGUGGCGAAGGCGACCACCUGGAC